Molecule: transfer RNA, 76 nt
Filed under: Microbacterium sp.
Lineage: Bacteria; Bacillati; Actinomycetota; Actinomycetes; Micrococcales; Microbacteriaceae
Also listed under: 5 other names
Description: tRNA-Lys
Rfam family: tRNA
About the family: Transfer RNA (tRNA) molecules are approximately 80 nucleotides in length. Their secondary structure includes four short double-helical elements and three loops (D, anti-codon, and T loops). Further hydrogen bonds mediate the characteristic L-shaped molecular structure. tRNAs have two regions of fundamental functional importance: the anti-codon, which is responsible for specific mRNA codon recognition, and the 3' end, to which the tRNAs corresponding amino acid is attached (by aminoacyl-tRNA synthetases). tRNAs cope with the degeneracy of the genetic code in two manners: having more than one tRNA (with a specific anti-codon) for a particular amino acid; and 'wobble' base-pairing, i.e. permitting non-standard base-pairing at the 3rd anti-codon position.
Source: RNAcentral
GGGCCUCUAGCUCAACUGGCAGAGCAGCGGACUUUUAAUCCGCGGGUUGUGGGUUCGAGUCCCACGGGGCCUACGA